GCCCGCGAGGUAAACACGCCAAAAUGCAAAUUUGGAGACGCACCCACAACGUGCCGGGGCUUCUCCCGUUUUUAUUUAAACGGGAGAAGA
RNAcentral lists this transfer RNA (90 nucleotides) under Cyrtodactylus consobrinus. RNAcentral describes it as "tRNA-Cys". Lineage: Eukaryota; Metazoa; Chordata; Lepidosauria; Squamata; Gekkonidae. The record is from RNAcentral.